This is a long non-coding RNA of Apis dorsata (giant honeybee), 744 nucleotides long. RefSeq lists it as uncharacterized. The record is from RefSeq and is a predicted model, not a curated record. The transcript has 2 exons. Lineage: Eukaryota; Metazoa; Arthropoda; Insecta; Hymenoptera; Apidae.
UUUAUAUAUAUAUAUAUAUAUAUAUAUAUAUAUAUAUAUAUUAUAUAUAUAACCAUCACAGUUUAUGUUCAUUAAGUUAUGUUCAAUAAUGAAACAAUUUUUACUGUUAAAUUAAAUAAUAAGCGUUUAAUAAUGAAUUUAAAAUUAAUGUUCUUUAUAAUCUUAUAAUAAUCUUCUUUAUAAAGACUACAACUCAAAAAUUGAUAUUAUUAUUUAACCCAACAGCAUUUCCAAUAGAUAAAGAAUUUUGAAUUUAAAAUAAAUCUUUAUGGAAACACCUGUUAAGUAUGUUUGACAAAAUUCUUAUCAUAACUAUAAUACAUAACUCUGACAAUACUGUAGAACAGUAUAAUCGUUAAACCAUACUUUUCUUGAUUACUUGUUGAUAUUUUCAUUAAAAGAUAAGUAAAAUAUUAGAUUUAUACUGACAUUUUAUAUCAGACUACUAAUAAUAAUUUACUUAAAAUUCAUAUCUGUUUAUAAUAUGGACAACAUUUUUUGUUUUCUACACUACAAUUUAUAAACUUAAAUUUUUUCAUAUUUUAGUGCAGAAUAUUAUUUUUCUAUUAAGAUAAUAUUAAACAUUUCUAAAGGAAAGUAUUCAUACAGAUCGUAUGUUCUUAAAUAAUUACAUAGCUUAAUAUUUAUUUAUUGUAUAUUCCGUGUUACGUGUAUUUUGUAUCAGAAUUAUUUAUAGUAAUUUUCUUAAAUAAAAAGAUACUACAAUACUCUAGAUAAAAUAAU